Molecule: ribosomal RNA, 253 nt
Filed under: uncultured bacterium
Lineage: Bacteria
Description: partial 16S ribosomal RNA
Rfam family: Bacterial small subunit ribosomal RNA
Source: RNAcentral
UACGGAGGGUGCAAGCGUUAUCCGGAUUCACUGGGUUUAAAGGGUGCGUAGGCGGGCAGGUAAGUCCGUGGUGAAAUCUCCAAGCUUAACUUGGAAACUGCCGUGGAUACUAUUUGUCUUGAAUAUAGUGGAGGUGAGCGGAAUAUGUCAUGUAGCGGUGAAAUGCUUAGAUAUGACAUAGAACACCCAUUGCGAAGGCAGCUCGCUACACUAUUAUUUACGCUGAGGCACGAAAGCGUGGGGAUCAAACAGG